GAUGAACGCUAGCUACAGGCUUAACACAUGCCAGUCGAGGGGCAGCAUGACCUAGCAAUAGGUUGAUGGCGACCGGCGCACGGGUGAGUAACACGUAUCCAACCUGCCGAUUAUUCCGGGAUAGCCUUUCGAAAGAAAGAUUAAUACUGGAUAGCAUAACGAGAAGGCAUCUUCUUGUUAUUAAAGAAUUUCGAUAAUCGAUGGGGAUGCGUUCCAUUAGUUUGUUGGCGGGGUAACGGCCCACCAAGACAUCGAUGGAUAGGGGUUCUGAGAGGAAGGUCCCCCACAUUGGAACUGAGACACGGUCCAAACUCCUACGGGAGGCAGCAGUGAGGAAUAUUGGUCAAUGGACGAGAGUCUGAACCAGCCAAGUAGCGUGAAGGAUGACUGCCCUAUGGGUUGUAAACUUCUUUUAUAUGGGAAUAAAGUGGGCCACGUGUGGCUUUUUGUAUGUACCAUACGAAUAAGGAUCGGCUAACUCCGUG
This 485-nucleotide ribosomal RNA is filed under the name uncultured bacterium. Its description in RNAcentral is "partial 16S ribosomal RNA". It matches the Rfam family "Bacterial small subunit ribosomal RNA", at positions 28 to 507 of the family's 1533-position model. The record is from RNAcentral.